RNAcentral lists this ribosomal RNA (253 nucleotides) under uncultured bacterium. RNAcentral's name for it is "partial 16S ribosomal RNA". It matches the Rfam family "Bacterial small subunit ribosomal RNA", at positions 524 to 776 of the family's 1533-position model. The record is from RNAcentral.
UACGGGGGGGGCAAGCGUUGUUCGGAAUUACUGGGCGUAAAGGGCUCGUAGGCGGCCAACUAAGUCAGACGUGAAAUCCCUCGGCUUAACCGGGGAACUGCAUCUGAUACUGGAUGGCUUGAGUUCGGGAGAGGGAUGCGGAAUUCCAGGUGUAGCGGUGAAAUGCGUAGAUAUCUGGAGGAACACCGGUGGCGAAGGCGGCAUCCUGGACCAUUACUGACACUGAAACGCGAAAGCCAGGGGAGCAAACGGG